This 431-nucleotide ribosomal RNA is filed under the name uncultured bacterium. RNAcentral's name for it is "bacterial SSU rRNA". It matches the Rfam family "Bacterial small subunit ribosomal RNA", at positions 917 to 1345 of the family's 1533-position model. The record is from RNAcentral.
GGACCCGCACAAGCAGUGGAGCAUGUGGUUUAAUUCGAAGAUACGCGCAGAACCUUACCAACGCUUGACAUGUUCGUCGCGAGACUAAGAGAUUAGUUUCUUCAGUUCGGCUGGACGAAACACAGGUGCUGCAUGGCUGUCGUCAGCUCGUGUCGUGAGAUGUUGGGUUAAGUCCCGCAACGAGCGCAACCCCCUACUUUUAGUUGCCACCAUUUAGUUGGGCACUUUAAAAGAACUGCCAGUGAUAAGCUGGAGGAAGGUGGGGAUGACGUCAAGUCCUCAUGGCCCUUAUGUGUUGGGCUACACACGUGCUACAAUGGCACUUACAAUGGGAUGCAAAGAGGCGACUCUUAGCUAAUCCCUAAAAUGUACCUCAGUUCGGAUUGUACUCUGUAACUCGAGUGCAUGAAGCUGGAAUUGCUAGUAAUCGC